Molecule: non-coding RNA, 26 nt
Filed under: Rattus norvegicus (Norway rat)
Lineage: Eukaryota; Metazoa; Chordata; Mammalia; Rodentia; Muridae
Source: RNAcentral
UUUGAGGAAAGACCAUUAGGGAGAAG